RNAcentral lists this ribosomal RNA (625 nucleotides) under uncultured bacterium. Its description in RNAcentral is "bacterial SSU rRNA". The stretch from base 1 to 321 matches the Rfam family "Bacterial small subunit ribosomal RNA", at positions 1062 to 1384 of the family's 1533-position model. The record is from RNAcentral.
GUGUCGUGAGAUGUUGGGUUAAGUCCCGCAACGAGCGCAACCCCUAUUGUUAGUUGCCAUCAUUCAGUUGGGCACUCUAGCGAGACUGCCGGUAAUAAACCGGAGGAAGGUGGGGAUGACGUCAAAUCAUCAUGCCCCUUAUGACCUGGGCUACACACGUGCUACAAUGGUUGGUACAACGAGUUGCGAGUCGGUGACGGCAAGCUAAUCUCUUAAAGCCAAUCUCAGUUCGGAUUGUAGGCUGCAACUCGCCUACAUGAAGUCGGAAUCGCUAGUAAUCGCGGAUCAGCACGCCGCGGUGAAUACGUUCCGGGUCCCGGUCGUUACGUACACCGCCCGUCCGUACACCACCGACGAGUUAGUUUACGAACCCGAACCGUACGGUCGGUAGGUAACGUUUAACGUUAGGCCGACGACGCCCGUAACGUAGGGGUAGUAGUAAGUGUAGUUAGGGUUGGGGUAAGUAACGGUUAACCGUAAACGGUAAGGGUACCGGUACCGUUACGGGUAACGGGGUAGGUCGGGCCGGUUCGGUAGGUACCUACCGGUACCGGUACCGGACCGGGCCCGGGACGGUUCGGUUCGGGGUAGGGGACGAACGGACGGACACCACGGGGAGGUAGUG